GUACUCUUGGCCGAGUGGUCUAAGGCGCUAGUUUUAAGCUAAAUCCAGCUAUUCUCGGCUGUUUACUUCACUAGUAACGAAAGUUGCGCGAGUUCGAACCUCGCAGAGUACA
Molecule: non-coding RNA, 112 nt
Organism: Xylaria telfairii
Lineage: Eukaryota; Fungi; Ascomycota; Sordariomycetes; Xylariales; Xylariaceae
Source: the annotation of a GenBank genome assembly